AGUGAACGCUGGCGGUAGGCCUAACACAUGCAAGUCGAACGGCAGCACAGUAAGAGCUUGCUCUUACUGGUGGCGAGUGGCGGACGGGUGAGGAAUACAUCGGAAUCUACUUUUUCGUGGGGGAUAACGUAGGGAAACUUACGCUAAUACCGCAUACGACCUACGGGUGAAAGCAGGGGAUCUUCGGACCUUGCGCGACUGAAUGAGCCGAUGUCGGAUUAGCUAGUUGGCGGGGUAAAGGCCCACCAAGGCGACGAUCCGUAGCUGGUCUGAGAGGAUGAUCAGCCACACUGGAACUGAGACACGGUCCAGACUCCUACGGGAGGCAGCAGUGGGGAAUAUUGGACAAUGGGCGCAAGCCUGAUCCAGCCAUACCGCGUGGGUGAAGAAGGCCUUCGGGUUGUAAAGCCCUUUUGUUGGGAAAGAAAAGUAGCAGGUUAAUACCCCGCUGUUCUGACGGUACCCAAAGAAUAAGCACCGGCUAACUUCGUG
RNAcentral lists this ribosomal RNA (492 nucleotides) under uncultured bacterium. RNAcentral's name for it is "partial 16S ribosomal RNA". It matches the Rfam family "Bacterial small subunit ribosomal RNA", at positions 29 to 507 of the family's 1533-position model. The record is from RNAcentral.